UGUAAACAAAGAAAGUCAAGAGAAAACACAGAGUUAGGGUAAUAGGCGAUAUGAGAGAGACUCUCUGGAGGGGAAAAGAGGACAAAGGAACUAGGGCACGAUUAGGACUCAAAAAUUUGGGGAUUUGGAAAACAAGAGAGAGAAAAAGGCGUAGAAAGGAGAAGAGGAAGAGUCGAAAGAUUCGAUUGGAGGACCAUCUCAAGAGGUGCCAAAUAUCUCAGGUCGGUCUCGACUUGCUCAAGGUUCUUCUUUCAGAAAGGAUACAAUCAUGGAAACGUAUGGAACUGCAAAAUUCUUGGAUGGAAAGGGACAGCAGGGCACAGAAUUGCAGCGGUGAAGAACUCGAUGGCGUUGGUUGCUCCCCUCGAGAACGUUUCAGAUAGGAUUACACGGAGAACACCAAUAGCCAGUUUUACAUGAUAAACCAGUUGAGUCAUGAGGCGUGCUCUGCUACAAUGUGGAGAUUUCAAGAUUUGGGGGAAGUUCCUUCUUUCUCACUUGCAAGCAUUUGCAUGCAUUGGUGGUUGAUUGUUUGGGUUAACCAUUACUUCAUGCAUUCGUUCCUUAUUUAUACUGUUAUGUGGAGAUGUUUUGUUAUAUGCUUCAAACACUUCCUUUGUUCCUACGACCUCUGCUUUAAGCUG
Long non-coding RNA from Prunus dulcis (almond), 644 nucleotides. RefSeq lists it as uncharacterized. The record is from RefSeq and is a predicted model, not a curated record. The transcript has 2 exons. Lineage: Eukaryota; Viridiplantae; Streptophyta; Magnoliopsida; Rosales; Rosaceae.